GAUGAACGCUGGCGGCGUGCCUAAUACAUGCAAGUCGAGCGAACGGACGAGAAGUUCGCUUCUUUGAUGUUAGCGGCGGACGGGUGAGUAACACGUGUAUAACCCACCUAUAAGACUGGGAUAAUUUCGGGAAACCGGAGCUAAUACCGGAUAAUCUUUUGAACCGCAUGGUUCAAAAGUGAAAGACGGCCUUUCUGUCACUUAUAGAUGGAUCUGCGCUGCAUUAGCUAGUUGGUAAGGUAACGGCUUACCAAGGCAACGAUGCAUAGCCGAACUGAGAGAGUGGUAGGCCACACGGGAACUGAGACGCGGUCCAGACGCCUACGGGAGGCAGCAGUAGGGAAUCUUACGCAAUGGGCGGAAGCCUGACGGAGCAACGCCGCGUGAGUGAUGAAAGUCUUCGGAUCGUAAAGCUCUGUUAUUAGGGAAGAACAUAUGUGUAAGUAACUGUGCACAUCUUGACGGUACCUAAUCAGAAAGCCACGGCUAACUACGUG
RNAcentral lists this ribosomal RNA (497 nucleotides) under uncultured bacterium. Its description in RNAcentral is "partial 16S ribosomal RNA". It matches the Rfam family "Bacterial small subunit ribosomal RNA", at positions 28 to 507 of the family's 1533-position model. The record is from RNAcentral.